AAUCAACGCUGGCGGCGUGCCUAACACAUGCAAGUCGAACGCGAAAGUGGAGCAAUCCAUGAGUAGAGUGGCAAACGGGUGAGUAACACGUGGGUGACCUGCCUUCGAGUGGGGGAUAACGUUUCGAAAGGAACGCUAAUACCGCAUAACAUGCUGUCUUUUAACAGAUGGACAUCAAAGCCGGGGACCGCAAGGCCUGGCGCUUGAAGAGGGGCCCGCGCCUGAUUAGCUAGUUGGUGGGGUAAUGGCUCACCAAGGCAACGAUCAGUAUCCGGCCUGAGAGGGCGGACGGACACACUGGGACUGAGACACGGCCCAGACUCCUACGGGAGGCAGCAGUGGGAAUUGUUCGCAAUGGGCGCAAGCCUGACGACGCAACGCCGCGUGGAGGAUGAAGAUCUUCGGGUCGUAAACUCCUUUCGAUCGAGACGAAUGGCCCUUGGGCUAAUACCCUGAGGGAGUGACGGUACCGAGAGAAGAAGCCCCCGGCUAAACUCCGUGCCAGCAGCCGACGG
Molecule: ribosomal RNA, 515 nt
Filed under: uncultured bacterium
Lineage: Bacteria
Description: bacterial SSU rRNA
Rfam family: Bacterial small subunit ribosomal RNA
Source: RNAcentral